This 548-nucleotide small RNA is filed under the name Rattus norvegicus (Norway rat). RNAcentral's name for it is "uncharacterized LOC108352409". The record is from RNAcentral. Lineage: Eukaryota; Metazoa; Chordata; Mammalia; Rodentia; Muridae.
AAACCCUCUUGGAAAGCAGGUGGAGGUUCUUCUUUGGGCCGAUUGUUAUGGGAAGAUAUUUGCUGUGUGUGUACAUGCAGGCUCAGAUGGCUGAAUGACGAGUAUUGGCAGGAUAUAACACAAAGCUUCCGGAUUAAUAGAUGUGUGGACUACCAGAAGACAACCAGUGGCUUUUAUGUCUCUGACAUCAUCAUAUCUGUGCUGCGAGGGACACAGAGAUUGUAUGGCAGGCAGAGUUCUGGUUCUGCGGCAAGUGGUCGGCUUUUUGCCUGCUUCCUGUAGCCUUGAAAGCCAAACUGAGGUAGCUGAAAGAAACCAUUCAACUCUCAACCACAAGAAAGCACAGAACGGAGCUGAACUUCCCCAAAGCCAUGUCCCAGAGGACUGUCUCUACUUGACCUGAGUGGCAGCUCGCUUCCAAGUUCUUUUCUUGGCUGCCUUUAUUUGAUCUCACUCAGAAUUGGUUCUGUGCAAACUAUUUCACACCUGAGGCAUUUUUCAAAAACAAUCGCAGGCGCCUGAGGGGGAAAAGGCAUUUGGAAGGAAGA